RNAcentral lists this long non-coding RNA (3456 nucleotides) under Durio zibethinus. RNAcentral describes it as "long non-coding RNA (DZIB_LNC000635)". Lineage: Eukaryota; Viridiplantae; Streptophyta; Magnoliopsida; Malvales; Malvaceae. The record is from RNAcentral.
AUAAUUUAAAUUUAAUAUUUAAAUAUUUAACAUUUUUAACAAUUUUAAAUAUAUUUUAAAAUUAAAUAUUUAAUACUAAAUAUUCUCGCAGGUCAGACCAAGUCUUAAAAAUCUUAACCAAAAUUUUGUUUAUUUUCCAAUACCGACAGCAGCUAACUCGCUGAAGCAAUUGUAGCAGCGGAGGUAGUGAAAGAAGCUGACCUAUCAAAGAGAGAGCUUUCCCUUCAUAUGCCUAUGGGAAAGGAAAGGUUGUUGAAAGCUGUUAUAAGCCACAUUGCUUUGGUUCAAUCCAAACUUGAGACUUCCUUCAUGCUUUUUUCACUAGUCAAAUAGGUUCCUUUGAAGGGCUUUCUUUCUCUUACGCAAUUGAAAGUGUCGACUUCAAUAGAUCUAGGUUGGAGCAACUAUAAUUUCUUGUUGGCGUUAUUAAAAGAUAUAUAUACAUUAUUUGAAAGUUGGAAAAGCUCUUUUAUCGUAAGUCUUUUUUCUACUUGUGAAAUUAUAAUGGUUUCAUGGAUGGCAUAUUUUUUCCAUAUAAUUCAAGCUACAAAUAUAAUUUUCAAGUCUUGAAAACAACCCAAUCCAAACGAAUACUCACCAAACAUAAAUCAAUUUCAACUUAAUCUAUGAGUAUUCUUAAACUCAAAAUAAUUCUUCAUACAUACACAACCAUAAACAUUAUCCCUUAAUAUAUAGUUUUAUCUUUUAUUACUAUGGAGUCUCCUUUAUUUUCUUUUAACGUUCUCAAAAGUUUUUCAAAGAAAUAAAUAGCAAAAAACUGUAUAUUUAAUUCAUCCAUUUAGCAAAAUCAUUUAGAGCAAAUAGAUAAUUUUAAUUUUUUUUUAAUACAAUCAAAGGUAUCUGAACCUUUUCUCUAGACUACGCUUUUCCUAAAGACACCUUAGGAGAACCGUCAUAUCAACUUGGAAGAUUUAAAAUAAUUUUUCUUUUAAUUUUAAAUGUUAUUAAUCAAUUAAAAAUGGAUUCAUACUCAUGUUUUAAUAAAUUGGGCCAAAGAUUGAAUUGGUUGUCUUUUUGGUUCUCAAUUUAACCGAUUCAAAAUGAUAGAAAAUUUUUGUAUUUUUAGAAAUUUUAAAAAAUUUAGAAAAAUAAAAAUAUAAAAAAUAAAAUAUAUAUGAAAAAGGUUUAAAUCUAGAACAACUAAAAACACUUAAAACUCAAAUCAUAUAUAUAUAUAUAUAUAUUUAUAUUAUAUUAUAUUACAACAUAUAUAGUUACUAGAUAGUAAUUGCUGACGUGGAGGCUUAUGUGGAUAGUUUUUUUUUUCGACACGUAAGAUAAUCCUUAAAAUUUUUUAUUAUUAUGAUACAUAAGAUAUUUAUUAAUUUUAAAUUAUUUAUAAAAAUAUAUUUUAAAAAUUAUUAAAUUGUCUAAAAUUUUAAAAUUUAAUCAAAAAUCAAUUUAAAUUCUAAUGAAAUUCUUUUAUUUUGUACAUCAUUUUAUCUUAAUUUAAAAUCAAUUUAAAAAAUUUAUCUUUUUUAAUUUAUUUACAAUUAACAUGAGUAUUUAAAUUUAUCACAACUUUUAAAAAUAUUAUUUAAUAUCUUUAAUAUUUUUGAUAAAUACUUAUUACAUUAUUUUCAACUUUUAAAUAUAUUUCAUAAAGAAAUUGUAAUAUAUAUAUAACCAAACACAUGUCCUAACACAAUCAUAUAUACCUUGACAAAAAUGAAGACGAGAUUAUUUUCUAUGUUACAAAUUGGGAAUUAUUUGUCUGGCAAUUAGUGGACCAGUUCAACUUAAUGAAAAGACAAGUGCAUAAUUUCCAAAAUUAAAAUAAUAAAAUAAAGCCACAUAUAUCAAUGACACUUCCACACUUACAACAUCUUUUAAGCCUUUCAUGUGCAACUAAACAAAAUUGAUAUAUAUUUUCUACACUUUUUAGUCAAUAUGAUUGCAGGAAUAUUUUAUGGUCUAAAUUUAUAAUAUGUUUGAGAAAUUAGUUAUCAAGAAUCCAGUUAUAUUCUAAACUUUGUCAUACCUUUACAAUAAAAAUGUUAGCAAUAGAAAUUUUUCAAGAUAUUUGUUGUGAAUAGAGUCAAGAUGUAAAACGACAAAAAAACUAUUAGAUAAAGGUAUAAAAUACCAAAAUUUAAAUAUUAUUAUCUAAUUAGAUAUUAUCUAUAGAAAAAUUUAUUAUUUAAAUAUAUUUAUGGAUUAAAGUUUAUCAAGAUUUAAAUGAAAAAUCAAUUUAAAUAUACGAUAAUUAAAUAGAUAAAAUUAUUAUUUAAAUAUAUUUAUGGAUUAAAUAAAAUUAUAAAGCUUGAUUCUUUACCGUCUUUCCAUUCAACUUAUUUUUCAAACAACAUUCCAUCUUCUCACAGACUUUAGUAUUACUCUUUUAUUACUCUUCCAUUUAAGUUGGAUUUAUUUUUUCUUUUCUAUUUUGUUGAGGUAAGCUCUCUUAGUUUAAUUUUGAUUUUUUUUUUUUGCACUUAAGUAAAUGAAUAGAACAGAAUGCCAAGAACAUAUAAAGCAAUACAACAUGCAAAUGAGCUUUUAUAUACUAUAUGUUAGAGAUCACUUCUGGAACUUGAACAAGCUUACAAAAGAAGAUUUCUGUUGCUAAUUGAUGAGGCCAUAAUCAAUUUAUUAGAAGAUAGCUGCAGAUUAUGAAUAACCUUUAAUCCUUUCAUUAACCCAAAAAUGAAAAUAAAAAAAGAAAAAAUAUACAAUAGAUUGGCUUUCAUAUUAAGCUAUUUCAAUUUAGAUUGUUUCAUUGUACAAUGAUGAAGCCUCUUUAAAAGCUAAGGAAAUUAUAUUAUUAUUGUCAUAUCAUCAUUUUCACAUCAUGUUAUUAAAAUGCAUAUUGCUUUUUUUCUGGGAAUUAAGAUUACAAAUUUUCUUAUGUUCUAAGUAAACUAACACUUACUGUUUACUUGACAGUUCUUGCAAAAAGAGGCUCUAAUCUUGAGAUUUUCUAUUUUGUUAAGGUAAGCUCUCUUAGUUUAAUUUUGACUUUUUUUUAUUGCACUUAAAUAAAUAAAUAGAACAUAAUGCCAAGAACAUGUAAAGCAAAAUAACAUGCAAAUGAGCUUUUAUAUACCGUAUGUUAGAGAUCAUUUAUAGAACUUCAACAAGAUUACAAAAAAAGCAAAAAUUCUAUUACUAACUGAUGAGGUCAUAAUCAAUUUAUUAAAAGAUAGCAGUAGAUUAUGAAUAAUAUUUAAUCCUUUCAUUAACCCAAAAAUUAAAAAAAAAGAAAAGAAAGAUAUACAAUAGAUUGGCUUUCAUAUUAAGCUAUUUCAAUUCAGAUUGUUUCAUUGUACAAUGAUGAAGCCUAUUUAAAAGCUAAGGAAACUAUCUUAUUAUUGUCAUAUCAUCAUUUUCACAACAUUUUAUUAAAAUGCACAUUGCUUUCUUUCCAUGGGAAUUAAGAUUACAAAUUUUCUUAUGUUCUAAAUAGACUAACAUUUACUGUUUACUUGAUAGGUC